Molecule: long non-coding RNA, 324 nt
Organism: Oreochromis aureus
Lineage: Eukaryota; Metazoa; Chordata; Actinopteri; Cichliformes; Cichlidae
Source: Ensembl
GGAGUCCCUCCUCUAAAAGCACUCUGUGUGGGGAACAUGAGAGCCAGACCAAAGCUCAGAGGAACCCACCUGGACCUCCACCCAGCUCUGUGUCCCUAAAGAGUGACUGGUCUAAAGAUGAGCUCAUUUAUUUUAAAUCCCAGCCUGUGUCUGCUGCAGAGAGGCACCCAACACAUUUCGGAAAAAUGAGAAAACAUGAGAACCGAAUCAGCCAAGGUGUGCUCUCAUUGGCAGGGGAACAAUAUGAGAACAGUACCAGCAACAACAGUCUCCAGGAUGAAGAUAUAUAUAUACAAAAACAAAAUUCCCCACUCCCCCUUGCAG